This 428-nucleotide ribosomal RNA is filed under the name uncultured bacterium. RNAcentral describes it as "bacterial SSU rRNA". It matches the Rfam family "Bacterial small subunit ribosomal RNA", at positions 354 to 796 of the family's 1533-position model. The record is from RNAcentral.
GUAGGGAAUAUUGCACAAUGGAGGAAACUCUGAUGCAGCGACGCCGCGUGAGUGAUGAAGGCCUUCGGGUCGUAAAGCUCUGUCGCAGGGGAAUAACACAAUGAAGGUACCCUGUAAGAAAGGAUCGGCUAACUUCGUGCCAGCAGCCGCGGUAAGACGAGGGAUCCUAGCGUUGUUCGGAAUCAUUGGGCGUAAAGCGGAUGUAGGUGGCUAUGUAAGUCAGAUGUGAAAGCCUGGGGCUCAACCCCAGAAGUGCAUUUGAUACUGCGUAGCUUGAGUGUCGGAGAGGUUACUAGAAUUGUUGGUGUAGUGGUGAAAUACGUAGAUAUCAACAGGAAUACCGGAGGCGAAGGCGGGUAACUGGCCGAACACUGACACUGAGAUCCGAAAGCGUGGGGAUCAAACAGGAUUAGAUACCAGGGUAGUCC